ACACUAUAAGACUGGGAUAACUUCGGGAAACCGGAGCUAAUACCGGAUAAUAUAUUGAACCGCAUGGUUCAAUAGUGAAAGACGGUUUUGCUGUCACUUAUAGAUGGAUCCGCGCCGCAUUAGCUAGUUGGUAAGGUAACGGCUUACCAAGGCAACGAUGCGUAGCCGACCUGAGAGGGUGAUCGGCCACACUGGAACUGAGACACGGUCCAG
This 213-nucleotide ribosomal RNA is filed under the name uncultured Staphylococcus sp. RNAcentral's name for it is "partial 16S ribosomal RNA". It matches the Rfam family "Bacterial small subunit ribosomal RNA", at positions 127 to 334 of the family's 1533-position model. Lineage: Bacteria; Bacillati; Bacillota; Bacilli; Caryophanales; Staphylococcaceae. The record is from RNAcentral.